This 502-nucleotide ribosomal RNA is filed under the name uncultured Glomeromycotina. RNAcentral's name for it is "partial small subunit ribosomal RNA". It matches the Rfam family "Eukaryotic small subunit ribosomal RNA", at positions 591 to 1092 of the family's 1831-position model. The record is from RNAcentral. Lineage: Eukaryota; Fungi; Glomeromycota.
CCAAUAGCGUAUAUUAAAGUUGUUGCAGUUAAAAAGCUCGUAGUUGAAUUUCGGGGUUCAUACGUUGGUCGGGCUUUUUGGUCUGUACUAGCGUAAUGGAUUCCUACCUUCUGAAUAACCGGCAUGCCAUUAAUUUGGUGCGCCGGGGAAGCAGGACUGUUACCUUGAAAAAAUUAGAGUGCUUAAAGCAGGCUAUCGCCUGAAUACAUUAGCAUGGAAUAAUGAAAUAGGACGGCAUGGUUCUAUUUUGUUGGUUUCUAGGAUCACCGUAAUGAUUAAUAGGGAUAGUUUGGGGCAUUAGUAUUCAAUUGUCAGAGGUGAAAUUCUUGGAUUUAUUGAAGACUAACUUCUGCGAAAGCAUUUGCCAAGGAUGUUUUCAUUAAUCAAGAACGAAAGUUAGGGGAUCGAAGACGAUCAGAUACCGUCGUAGUCUUAACCAUAAACUAUGCCGACUAGGGAUCGGACGAUGUUAAUUUUUUAAUGACUCGUUCGGCGCCUUACG